GAAACUGAUAUGGUCAAGAAAAUAUUACAAAACAAUCUGACUAAUAAUUGUCUGCAAUUUCCUGGAAAAUUUUGCAGAGCUCUUCUGGCUUUGACAGCAUGACCAUAUGAUCAGCUCCAUCAAUAAGCUUCACUUGCUCAGUUGGGCUGUUCUCGAUCAUCCAUUGCACGAUUUCCUCUUUCAUAACUGCAUCUUCUUUGCAAACUACAAAAACCCGCUUUAUCGAUCCAUAUUUAGCUUCAGUUAGCAGAGAUUCCUUGGCCAAGUCUUCCAGGAAAAACUUGAAGGGCCUGAGUAGCAAUUUGGCUAAUUCCAAGUCCUGCAAGGAGAAGUGGUGUCUUGUUCAUGCAUUGUAGAAAAUCACUCGCUAUCAGAUUGGUCAUAGCUCAGUGAUCGAACAUAUUUAUGAAAGCCACAUUUGCUAGAACAAAUACUUGCCUCUGGUUGGCUGUUGUGAUACAUCAUGGCCUCCAAAUACUGUGGCCCAAAAGCAGCUGAUAUUGGCAGGUUUUCUGGUCCUUGAUGGAAAGUUAUCUGGCAAUCUAAAAGGGAUUCUGGUGGGGUUCUCUUGAAGAAUUCUUGUACUAGAGUUACUGGUGGAUGAAUGAAAUUUGGCAUAUAAGCUGUGACAAAAACUGCUACCAAGAUUUUCUCAGGAAAGUUCUCCAUGGCUAGAGACAAGCCAAGACCACCAUAGCUGUGACCCACUAAGAUUACCCUCUCAUCUAGAGGAAGAGAGGCUAUGAAUUCCAUUAAUGGAUACACAUAAUCAGAAAAAGAUUUGAGCUCAUUUAGCUGCUUUGGAUUGAUCCCAGAAGCUCCAAGAUCUAAAGCAGUGACCUGGUGACCAGCCCAUUUGAGAAGAGGCACAAUUUUGUACCAGCACCAAGCACCAUGGCCAGAUCCGUGAACCAGAACAAAGUGCUUCUUAGUCUCUAUUCCUCUAUCUAUGCUUUUUCUGAAAUCUUCAGAACUCAUUUUGACUAUAUGAAAUGAUUCAAUACAGCCAUAC
Molecule: unclassified non-coding RNA, 1012 nt
Filed under: Hevea brasiliensis (rubber tree)
Lineage: Eukaryota; Viridiplantae; Streptophyta; Magnoliopsida; Malpighiales; Euphorbiaceae
Source: RNAcentral